This 671-nucleotide transfer RNA is filed under the name Aquibium microcysteis. Its description in RNAcentral is "Mesorhizobium sp. N3 partial 16S-23S ribosomal RNA intergenic spacer". The stretch from base 21 to 94 matches the Rfam family "tRNA". Lineage: Bacteria; Pseudomonadati; Pseudomonadota; Alphaproteobacteria; Hyphomicrobiales; Phyllobacteriaceae. The record is from RNAcentral.
CCAUCUGCGCUUGGGGCUUAGGGCUUGUAGCUCAGUUGGUUAGAGCGCGCGCUUGAUAAGCGUGAGGUCGGAGGUUCAAGUCCUCCCAGGCCCACCAGUUCAGUGCAGCCCGAAGGGCUGUCACGACGCAAUCCGCAAGGAUUGUCGAACUCCUCUACAAGGUAUCAGGGGCCGUAGCUCAGCUGGGAGAGCGCCUGCUUUGCAAGCAGGAUGUCGUCGGUUCGAUCCCGUCCGGCUCCACCAAUGCGCGAUCCGCAGGAUCGUCGUGAAUGCGCGAUCCGCAGGAUCGUCGUGAAUGCGCGAUCCGCAGGAUCGUCGUGAAUGCGCGAUCCGCAGGAUCGUCGCUUCAGCCACCGCGUUGCGUGUUGGCGAUAGCGCGAUCCGCAGGAUCGUCGCGGCGCGAUCGCAAGAUUGCUGCCUUGGUGUUGAGUAGAGGUGAGAAAAGUCAUUCGUAAAAAGAGUUUGCGCCGAGCUUCGUGCUUGGCGCCUGUUCUGUUUGACAUCGUAAAGAGAAGAUUUGUUCGAACUUCAUGACCCGCAAGGGCCGUGAUUUGUCGCAAGGGACGCUCAAUCCCUUGCAUAUGAUGGGUUUGCCUAACCGCACCCUCGAACCGAUCUCGAGAAGCUGGUCUUUUUGCGCCAAUGACAUCGAGCAAGAUCCCGCACAGGAU